This 468-nucleotide ribosomal RNA is filed under the name uncultured bacterium. RNAcentral's name for it is "partial 16S ribosomal RNA". It matches the Rfam family "Bacterial small subunit ribosomal RNA", at positions 28 to 507 of the family's 1533-position model. The record is from RNAcentral.
GGCGAACGCUGGCGGCGUGCUUAACACAUGCAAGUCGAACGGAAAGGCCCUGCUUUUGUGGGGUGCUCGAGUGGCGAACGGGUGAGUAACACGUGAGUAACCUGCCCUUGACUUUGGGAUAACAUCAGGAAACUGGGGCUAAUACCGGAUAGGAGCUCCUGCUGCAUGGUGGGGGUUGGAAAGUUUCGGCGGUUGGGGAUGGACUCGCGGCUUAUCAGCUUGUUGGUGGGGUAGUGGCUUACCAAGGCUUUGACGGGUAGCCGGCCUGAGAGGGUGACCGGCCACAUUGGGACUGAGAUACGGCCCAGACUCCUACGGGAGGCAGCAGUGGGGAAUAUUGCACAAUGGGCGGAAGCCUGAUGCAGCAACGCCGCGUGCGGGAUGACGGCCUUCGGGUUGUAAACCGCUUUCGCCUGUGACGAAGCGUGAGUGACGGUAAUGGGUAAAGAAGCACCGGCUAACUACGUG